Molecule: ribosomal RNA, 352 nt
Filed under: Malus domestica (apple)
Lineage: Eukaryota; Viridiplantae; Streptophyta; Magnoliopsida; Rosales; Rosaceae
Description: rRNA MD14G0093300
Rfam family: Bacterial large subunit ribosomal RNA
Source: RNAcentral
CAUUGGUAAGAAUCUAAUGCCCCGAAAACCUAAGGGUUCCUUCUCAAGGUUUGUCCACGGAGGGUGAGUCAAGGCCUAAGAUCAGGCCGAAGUGCGUAGUCGAUGGACAAUAGGUGAAUAUUCUUGUACUACCCCUUGUUGUUCCUGAGGGAUGAAGGAGGCUAGGUUAGCCGAAAAAUGGUUAUCGGUUCAAGGACGCAGGGUGCUUCUGAUUUUUCAGGGUAAGAAAGGGUAGAGAAAAUACCUCGGUAUACAUAGUUAUCUUUCUAUCUAUGAUUAAUAUUUCUAGUAUCAAUACACAACUUUUUCUUGAAUCAACAAAAAAAAUUAUUAAUAAAAACAUUAACAGUAA